This is a long non-coding RNA of Mytilus californianus (California mussel), 5694 nucleotides long. RefSeq lists it as uncharacterized. The record is from RefSeq and is a predicted model, not a curated record. Lineage: Eukaryota; Metazoa; Mollusca; Bivalvia; Mytilida; Mytilidae. The transcript has 3 exons.
ACAUGAUGGUACGCAAAUAUGUAAGUAGUUAUUAUAUGUAAAUUCGAAAAGUGAAUGAAGUUUAAACGAAAAUUGAUAAAACUAUGUCUAAACCUACUGGUGGAAUUGCAUUAGUACUGAUAAGUUAAAUACACAUUAUCAGUCACGCAUUUUUGUUUUAACAACGUGUAAUUGAUUUUGUCAAAAGAUGAAUAUUCGACGACCUGUUCACGAUUUGGACCUUCAAAUUACUUGAUAAUUGAACAAAACAGUAUUCAGGAGGGUUUUAAUAAUCUACCAAAGAGGAAUUACAUCAAGACUAAAGUCUUAUUGUUAGUAUCCAAGCCAAUAGGUGUUUUUGUAUGAUCAAGCUCGAAAGGGUUUCUCGCUUAUUUCCGAUAGUUUGUUGGUUGCGUUUAGAACCGUGUGCUAGUUUUGGUUAACAUCUAUUAUACAAAAAUAUGUUUUCAAAUUUGUAUGUAUUUUUUUUUAAUAACUGUCUGAUUGUUUAUGAUUUAAUUCCAUCGUUGUGCAAACUAUAGUUUUAUAUAAAGCGCACAACUUCUAUUUUUCACUUACUUUUACGAGUUUCAUUGACAACGAGGGACUGCAUUAAGAAUCAAUAUGCUGUAUCAAAACUAAUAAAUUUGUUAGUUUGUUAGCUGGCUUUUAAAACGAGUUUCACCUUAAUCGAACGUUUACAAGGGAGGAUCAUAUGCAGUUAGAUAUUCUGAAAUAACCACCUCAAUGAGUCUCAUAUAGUAACUUUAGUUGAAAUUAAACAUGCACAAUACAUUUUAUGUAAUCCAUGUUAUAUUACGAGUCACGAAUUCUUAAAAUAAACUUGCUGUCACCUCAUUGACUGUGAGAUUACUUCCGAUCUGUAAUGUCACCUUUGAAUUCAUUUAUCAACACAUGGCACCAAUUGUUUUACGCUUUUUUUCCCUCGAAUUCUAAUGUUUUUAAGCAAUAUUUUAAGUUUAUAUUUAUGUUAUAAGAAAGUGACAACCUUUGAAAAAUGAAGUCAGUACAAUGUAAUUAUGUAUAUUCUUCUAAUAAAUGGUCGUAUAGGGAUAAUAUAUAUAUUGAACAUUUACCUAACUGCUUAUGUAUACUUAUACACGCCUUAUUCUGUAUAGAUAACUUCUGUAUAGCAUUUAUUAUCAAUAAGCAUAUAUUAGUUAUAAGUGUUUCAAUUAAUCAUCAUAUCAAUUAUUAAAAUAUUUCCCUUGCUUUUCGUUUAUUAUGUUAUUUCGCUGUUUGUACGUAUAUUUUGCUGUACGUAAUUCAUAUCAUGCUUAUAUUUCAGUUUGUUAUAAAAUAACAGUAUUCCAAUUGUUUAUGUUAAUAGAGAAAGAAAGCCAUUCUGUAUUUUAUUAUCUUUGUUUUAUAAUGCAAAGUUAAUAUUCACAAUUAGAAAAAAAGAAAGAGAUUUUUUCUCAUUAUUUUGAAUUAAUCUCAAUAAUAUUUGAAAAAAAAAAACAGCACGUUUUUCUGUCUUAGUUUUAGGAAUUCAAAGAAUUUUCCUGUUCAAUUACUAUUGUCUAUUUGACGUAUAGAAAUCUACAUUCAAUUGAAAUUCCAAUUAUUCAAUAUACAUAAAAGUGUUUUUCACUUUGCUUGAUGCAUGUAGCACGGAAAAACGUAUCAAUCAAUUUAAAUAUUUCUUUUACAAAACACAACAUGAAUGGUACUACGUUUGUAUUGCUGGAAAUUGCUUCAUGCUCAAGGUUAACAGUACAGAGUAACAGUUCUUUCUAACCUUAACUUCAAGGGAUCCCAAACAACAUCUUGACCGAAUUCCUAGCUAGAUGUUAACAACUCUCUACGUUAUCUGUGAACAAAAUCAUUUGGUUAUAUAUAUGUGUACACAGAGUAUACAAGUGUUCUGUACUAUUUAGUUUGGUACCAAGGACUAAUGAUUCAAAGCCACAUCUGCAACGGCAUAAAACUUUUGAGAGCAAACAAUCCUUAUUGAUCGAUAUAGACCAGUUAAGGCCACAGAAAGUCGACUUGAAAGUUCUGGGAGUAACCGUUCCGGAGCUAAAUUAAAUUGUUAGAUCAGUUGUAUGUGAAGGUUAUUAAAACAACAAUACACAAAGAGAAAAUAAAAACAGCGAAUGCGUCGACAAGACCAGAUCUUCAAGUAAAUUAAGUGAGAUCUUCAAGUACAUAAAGUGAUUGAUAUCGUCAAAUGAAUAUUUUUGAGACUAUUGUCCUAAAUAUGUGGACAAUUUUCAUAAAAAUAUCUUUCUAAUUAAAUUGGACGAAGCCAUAACAAAAUCCUCGGACUGUUAAUAGAUUGCUACCAGUGUUGCUUAUAAUUUCAUUGUUGGAGGUGUUUGCCAUGUGAGCGAUUUAGUCCACCAUGAGACACUCGUUAAAGUUAAGAUGUCCAUAUCUUCCAGCUAAAAUUGGUGGUAAAGUUAAACGUGGCAUAGUUUGGUUAUGAUAGAAUACACAUGCAUUAUAUUAUUAUUUAUAUUUUCAUACUCUCAUAAUCUGUAUAAAUGUUAAUACUUACUAAUGUUGAAUGUAGAACGACGAAGAUAAAUGUCCAUUUGCUAUUGAGAACAGUGGUCUUUAUUCGGUUAUGAAUUUAGUUAUGUAACUUGUACAUGUUAUAGUGGUUGUUGCACAGACCGUCUAUUUGUUUUAAUCUUAAUUAUUUGUAUGAUUGUUGGCAGGGGCGUGUGCUAGGGAUAGCUAUACAUAGAUGUUUUGACAAUAUUUAUACAAUCUUGAAUUUGUAAAUGCAUGAAUUUACAUGACAAAUAAUCUGUGGUAGGUUACCCACGCAAGACCCAUUAAUACAAUUACAUCGUCAGUUGAUCAUAUUCACAUUUUUUAAAGUCUUUCGAAAAUAAAUUUUGAACAUAAUGAUUUGAAGAGAGAUUAUUGUCUAGUUUUCGAACGACCAGUUUAUAAUUUUGUAAAGGAGAUAAAACACAGAAACAGUUAUAAAAUAUUUAUCUUUGUAUGUGCAAAGUCAGGAGAUACUUAUGAAACUUUGUCACUGGAUACAAAUCUCUUAUCUAUAUACAUAAAAAAAACCUAAGUUAUCGUACACAAACUCUACCUUUCCAAUAACUUAUUUUAGAUUUUACGCUACUGAAGUUCAAAAUAACCUCUUUUUUAAUUUAUAAUCAUUCAUAAUUGUACUGAAUGCAUGGUAAAAUAUGUAAUAUUUUGACAGGUCCUGUAAUGAAUAUUUGACUAAGUGUAGUAGAAAAAAACCAACAAAAAUUUGAAACUAUUUUAUAAGAAGUGUAAUAGAGUUGUAUCUUCUUGGUAUGUAUCUUUUGAUCAUAUCAUGCAUAUAUCUCCUUACAUUUUUCCGUUCUUAUACAUUCUUACCUCCCAAAUAUUUGGUUAUUAGAACGUCUGAUGAAGGUAAAUAUAGAAAGGUGCUUCGAACACAUGAAAUUUAUAAAGUGUUUUUGCAAGUUUUGUUAAAGAUCUUGUCAAAUCCAAUAGUUGUUAUUGUUUUUAGUUAUUUGUUGAGAAAAUCACGUCCAAAAAUUUCAUUUCAAUUAUCAGUUGCAGGUCUUAUGUGUUCUCCAUUUAUCGGGAAGUGUUUUUGAAAAAUAAAUACUUAUGUAAUAAGAGUGUUUAAAUACAUAACAAGUUCAUUAGUGUUCGGAUUUGGAGGAUAACAUCAAUGCUAAUUUCUUUUAGUAAACCAUUGGCUCUAAAGCUUAACAAAACAUUUAAAUGGGUUUUGAUGCGUUGCGAUAAAAGUCGGUUGAUAAAUUGAAAGAUAUCAACAUGAUUUGUCGAAAAAAUACAUGCAAAUAUUCGCGCUCUUCAUUUUGCUCAAUGGAAGAUAAUUCUUACUAAGCUAGCACACAUACUAAUAUGUAUUCAGAUUUGCCUAUAUAAUGAACUUUAUCACUAGGGAAUGAACUAUGUAGCGUGUAUAGGAUCACAUGCUAAUGUCGUCGUGAAAGCUUUCAAUCACGUGUUACAGUUUUCAUUGCCGUGACACUCAAUAAUAAAAUGAGAUUGAACAUACAAGAAUAGAUGUUAAUGUAAUCAAAGCAGUUAGUAUUUAGUAAACACAAGUUAGAUUAACUUAACCGGACUCUUAUUGACUUUGUCGCUUUUUUCAGAUAUUUCUUUGAUUUAUUUUUAAAACAUAUAUAAAACAGAAUAUGUGGUAAGGUUGCCAAUACCGCAUAGUCAGCUUUAAAAGGCCCCCAAAUGACAAAUGUAAAACAAUUCAAACGAGGAAACUUACGGCCUAAUUAAUGUACAAAAUAAUGAACGAAAAACAAAUAUGUAACACAGCAACAAACGACAACCAUUGAAUUACAGGCUCCUGACUUGGGACAGGCACAUACAGAAUGUGACGUGGUUAAACUAGUUUGUUGGCGCCAAUCCCCCCCUAACCUGGGACAAUGGUGCAACGGCACAACACAACAACAAACUUUACAAAACAAUAAACGAUAAACAAAUUUGAGAAGCAGCAACAAACAACAACCACUGAAUUACAGGCUCCUGACUUGGGUCAGGCACAUGUAAAAUAUGGAGGGGUUAAACUUGUGUGUAGGCGCCAACCCUCUCCCUAAAACGGGACAGAGGUGUAACAGUCCAACAUAAGAACAAACUAUCAAAAUCAGUUGAAAAAGGCUUAACUCAUCAGAUGGAUACAAAUAGAAAUACAUCUAACAAAAACACAGAGUGGACGUGGACGGGUACUUGUACAUUCAAAAAACAAAAAGACACUAAGUACAUAUCUGAGAGUACUCGCAGUUACUGACAGCUAGUUCAAAGCCAAUAACAACUAAUAAAAAAAAUCAUGCAUCUAAGACUAAAUUAUCAAUCAGUACAGAUUCAACAUCCAAGGGAUUUAAUGUAAAGACGUCAUAAACAGUCAGAGAAAAAAACAUGACCUUGCGCAAUUCCAAGAUACUGGUAUCGACAGAAUGAAGAGCCAUGAAUGUGCAUAUGUAUACAUGUAUAACAAUAAUAUUUAGUUUGAUUUUAAUUUACUGAUAACAAAAUCAAUAUUUAUACCAAUAAAAGCAAUAUUCAAAAAUCAGUGUUGAACUGGUAACCUUUUAGAAUAAGUUUAUUUAAAGGAUCGAUAAGUUUACCCGGAUCGUUUCUAAAUUUCCGGGCUCGUUAAACAACAUCUCUCAAUAAUUUGACAUAUAUGUUUUAUAGUUACAUAUUGAUAACCAAAGAUGACUCAAAGUACCAUUUGAAUUAAGAUGUAAAUACUUUUCAGUAGGUUACAAAUGUAAUACUCAAAUUAUAAUAACAAUGUCUUUUUUAUAUGCAUGUAUUACGAAGGAAAGAAAAAUGCUAUACAUUUUGUAACAUAACAAUAUCUUAUAUACAUAUAUUCCAAUGCAAAAUAUAAAUUGUAUUAUCUGUUGUUAUAUAUAGACUUACUUCAUUAUAAUUCGUUGGAUACCAAUUUCAGUGAUUUCGUGGAUGGAGGUAAACCACGAAUUUAAAUCUUUCACAAAAUCCACACAUUUUCUACAGGCUUGAAUACAGUCUUGCACAAAAUCAAAAAUCCACGAAAAUACAAUGUUCCUCAAUCCAUGAAAAUUAGUACCCACGAAAAUAUAUGAAUUCAUAGUACAGGUAAUUCAAGUUGAAAACCAUGUUGUACAACAGAAGUUUUUUUUUUUAUUAUGACUUGUUAAUGAUACACAUGCAUUGAAUAUUUAUUUGUGAGUUUGAUUAAAAUAAUAAGAUGCA